UCUGAAAUGUUAUAAAGCCUGGAUGAUUACAGAAGAGCAGCAAAACCUAACGAAGAGGAACAGAUGGGAUAUCAAGUAUCAAAUCCAUACCUUGACGAGAUCCUGAGGCCGAUAGUCAUGCUAUUCAUCUGCCGCCAUCACCUCAUGUUUCAACAUGAUAAUGCACAGCCCCCAUGUCGCAAGGCUCUAUACACAAUUCCUGGAAGCUGAAAAUGUCCCAGUUCUUCCAUGGCCUGCAAACUCGCCAGACUACAGCGUGUUCCAGUUCCCGACAAUAUCCAGCAACAUCACACAGCCAUUGAAGAGGAGUGGGACAACAUUCCAGAGGCCAAAAUCAACAGUCUGAUCAACUCUAUGCGAAGGAGAUGUCGCAUUGCAUAAGGACAAUGACCCAACACACCUCCAGGCUGUGUAAGGGCAAUUUGACCAAGAAGGAGAGUGAUGGAGUGCUGCAUCAGAUGAUCUGGCCUCCACAAUCGCCAGACCUCAACCCGAUUGAGAUGGUUUGAAAUGAGUUGGACCGCAGAGUGAAGGAAAAGCAGCCAGCAAGUGCUCUGCAUAUGUGGGAACUCCUUCAAGACUGCUGGAAAGCAUUCCAGUUACCAGUCAGUGACCAUUUUUCCUAAAGAGAGUCGCAGCCCAAUGACAGCCGAGGUCGAGGAUACUCUAGUAUGAGUCGAAGGACCAGUAGCAGCCCAAUGACAGCCGAGGUCGAGGAUACUCUAGUAUGAGUCGAAGGACCAGUAGCAGCCCAAUGACAGCCGAGGUCGAGGAUACUCUAGUAUGAGUCGAAGGACCAGUAGCAGCCCAAUGACAGCCGAGGUCGAGGAUACUCUAGUAUGAGUCGAAGGACCAGUAGCAGCCCAAUGACAGCCGAGGUCGAGGAUACUCUAGUAUGAGUCGAAGGACCAGUAGCAGCCCAAUGACAGCCGAGGUCGAGGAUACUCUAGUAUGAGUCGAAGGACCAGUAGCAGCCCAAUGACAGCCGAGUUCGAGGAUACUCUAGUAUGAGUCAAAGGACCAGUAGCAGCCCAAUGACAGCCGAGGUCGAGGAUACUCUAGUAUGAGUCGAAGGACCAGUAGCAGCCCAAUGACAGCCGAGGUCGAGGAUACUCUAGUAUGAGUUGAAGGACCAGUAGCAGCCCAUGCGACCGCAACAAGUACGCCUGCUGCUCCUACGGGGGCAACAUGUUCGUUCUGGGAGGGAGAGCGUGCCACUCGCUUAGGGACUUCUGGAGGUAUAGUGUCGGACAAUGACCCAAAACACACCUCAAGGCUGUGUAAGGGCUAUUUAUUUGACCAAGGAGAGUGAUGGAGUGCUGCAUCAGACGACCAGGCCUCCACAAUCACCCGACCUCAACACAAUUGAGAUGGUUGGAAUGAGUUGGAUUGCAGAGUGAAGGAAAAGCAGCCAACAAGUGCUCAGCAUACAGUUGAAGUCAGAAGUUUACAUACACCUUAGACAAGUACAUUUAAACUCAGUUUUCACAAUUUCUGACAUUUAAUCCAUUCCCUGUCUUAGGUCAGUUAGGAUCACCACUUUAUGUUAAUAAUGUGAAAUGUCAGAAUAACACUAGAGAGAAUUAUUUAUUUCAGCUUUUACUUCUUUCAUCACAUUCCCAGUGGGUCAGAAGUUACCAUACACUCAAUUAGUAUUUGGUAGCAUUGCCUUUAAAUUGUUUAACUUGGUCAAAUGUUUUCGGGUAGCCUUCCAAAAGCUUCCCACAAUAAGUUGGGUGAAUUUUGGCCCAUUCCUCCUGACAGAGAUGGUGUAACUGAGUCAGGUUUGUAGGCCUCCUUGCUCGCUCACGCUUUUUCAGUUCUGCCCACAAAUUUUCUAUAGGAUGGAGAUCAGGGCUUUGUGAUCGCCACUCCAAUACCUUAACUUUGUUGUCCUUAAGCCAUUUUGCAACUUUGGAAGUAUGCUUGGGGUCAUUGUCCAUUUGGAAGACUCAUUUACGACCAAGCUUCAACUUCCUGACUGAUAUCUUGAGAUGUUGCUUCAAUAUAUCCACAUCAUUUUCCUUUCUCAAGAUGCCAUCUAUUCUGUGAAGUGCACCAGACCCUCCUGCAGCAAAUCACCCCCACAACAUGAUGCUGCCACCCUUGUGCUUCACAGUUGGGAUGGUGUUUUUCGGCUUGCAAGCCUCCCCCUUUUCCCUCAAACAUAACAAUGGUCAUUAUGUCCAAACAGUUAUAUUUUUAUUUCAUCAGACCAGAGGACAUUUCUCCAAAAAGUAUGUUCUUUGUCCCCAUGUGCAGUUGCAAACCGUAGUCUGUUUUUUUAUGGCAGUUUUGGAGCAGUAGCUGCUGAGCUGCCUUUCAGGUUAUGUUGAAAUAGGACUUGUUUUACUGUGUAUAUAGAUACUUUUGUACCUGUUUCCUCCAGCAUCAUCACAAGGUCCUUUGCUGUUGUUCUGAGAUUGAUUUGCACUUUUCACACCAAAGUACUUUUAUCUUUAGGAGACAGAACGCUUCUCCAUUCUGAGCGGUAUGUCAGCAGCAUGGUCCCAUGGUGUUUAUACUUGCGUACUAUUGUUUGUCCAGAUGAACAUGGUAACUUCAGGCAUUUGUAAAUUGCCAGACUUGUGGAGGUCUACAAUUUUUUUUCUGAGGCCUUGGCUGAUUUAUUUUGAUUUCCCCAUGAUGUCAAGCACAGAGGCACUGAGUUUGAAAGUAGGCCUUGAAAUACAUCCACCGGUACACUUCUAAUUGACUCAAAUGAUGUCAAUUAGCCUAUCAGAAGCUUAUUAAGCCAUGACAUAAUUUUCGGGAAUUUUCCAAGCUGUUUAAAGGCAAAGUCAACUUAGGUUUUGUAAACUUCUGACCCAUUUGAAUUAUGACACAAUGAAUUAUAAGUGAAAUAAUCUGUCUGUUAAAACUCAUUUUUCAACCAGCACACAUUUCUUGUUAACGAACUAUAGUUUUGACAAGUCGGUUAGGACAUCUACUUUGUGCAUGACACAAGUAAUUUUUCCAACAACUGUUAACCUGUUGAGUGUAGGGGGCAGUAUUUUGAUGUUUGGAUGAAAAACGUACCCAAAUGAAACUGCCUAUUUCUCAGGCCCAGAAUCUGAAUAUGCAUAUAAUUGUCAGAUUAUUAUAGAAAACACUCUAACGUUUCCAAAACUGUCUAAAAUAUUGUCUGUGAGUAUAACAGAACUGAUAUUGCAGGCGGAAACCUGAGGAAAAUCCAACCCGGAAGUGCUGUUUUUCCUGAAAGCUCUCUGUUCCAUAGCCUGCCUUUGCUCCAUUUAAAGGGAUAUCAACCAGAUUCAUUUUCCUAUGGCUUCCCCAUGGUGUGAACAGUCUUUAGAUAUAGUUUCAGGCUUUUAUUUUGAAAAAUGAGCGAGAAAGAUCACAUCACAUUUUGAUGGCUGGGUGCCAGCAGCUUUUUGCAUGCGCAACAGCUUGGAGCAGACAUUUUCUCUCUCUCUCCUAUUGAAGAAGCUACAGUCCCGGUUGAAAUAUUAUCGAUUAUAUAUUGUAAAAACAACCUGAGGAUUGAUUAUAAAAAACGUUUGACAUGUUUCUACGAACUUUACGGAUACUAUUUGGAAUUUUAGCUUGCCCGGACUUGACCGCUCGAGCCUGUGGAUUUCUGAACAUAAUGCACCAACCAAAUGGAGGUAUUUUGGAUAUAAAAAUAAUCUUUAUGCAACAAAAGGAACAUGUAUUGUGUAACUGUGAGUCUCGUGAGUGCAAAAAUCUGAAGAUCAUCAAAGGUAAGCGAUUAAUUUUAUUGCUUUUCUGACUUUCGUGACCAAUCUACUUGGCUGCUAGCUGUUUGUAAUAUUUUGUCUACUGAGAGAGUUGUCCUUACAUAAACGCUUGGUAUGCUUUCGCCGAAAAGCUUUUUUGAAAUAUGACAUGCCAGGUGGAUUAACAACAAGCUAAACUGUGUUUUGCUAUAUUGCACUUGUGAUUUCAUGAAAAUUAAAUAUUUUUAGUAAUUUAAUUUGAAUUUGGCGCUCUGAAAUUCAGCGGAUGUUGAUGAAAAUGAUCCCGCUAAUGGGAUGGGUGCAUCAAGAAGUUAAACUCUUGAAACUCUGGGGGCGGUAAUUUCAUUUUUGGAUAAAAAACGUUCCCGUUUUAAAACGGGAUAUUUUGUCACGACAAGAUGCUAGACUAUCCAUAUAAUUGACAGCUUUGAAUAGAAAACACUCUAACUUUUCCAAAACUGCAAAUAUAUUGUCUGUGAGUAUAACAGAACUGAUGUUACAGGCGAAAACCAGAUAAAAAUCCAAUCAGGAAGUGCCCCAUAUUUUGAAAGAGCCGCAUGCCAAUGACUCCUUAUAUGGCUGUGAAUUGCGUAAAGUACAGAGGCAGCCAUUAUUCCAAUCGCUUCUAAUGAGAAGCCAAUUGUCCCGGUGGAUAUAUUAUCGAAUAGAUAUGUGAAAAACACCUUGAGGAUUGAUUCUAAAUAACGUUUGCCAUGUUUCUGUCGAUAUUAUGGAGCUAAUUUGGAAAAAAGUUUGGCGUUGUAGUGACCGCAUUUUCCGGUCGAUUUCUCAGCCAAACGUGAAGAACAAACAGAGCUAUUUCGCCUACAAAAAUAAUAUUUUAGGAAAAAAGGAACAUUUGCUAUCUAACUGGGAGUCUCGUGAGUGAAACCAUCCAAAGUUCUUCAAAGGUAAAUGAUUUAAUUUGAUUGCUUUUCUUAUUUUCGUGAAAAUGUUGCCUGCUGCUAGCAGGGCAUAAUGCUAUGCUAGGCUAUGAUAAACUUACACAAAUGCUUGUCUAGCUUUGGCUGUAAAGCAUAUUUUGAAAAUCUGAGAUGACAGGGUGAUUAACAAAAGGCUAAGCUGUGUUCCAAUAUAUUUAACUUGUGAUUUUCAUGAAUAGGAAUAUUUUUCUUAUGUCCGUUGCGUUAUGCUAAUUAGUUAUUUAUGGGAUUUCUACAUAGGAGGCCCAUUUUCAGCAACCAUCAAUCCUGUGUUCCAAUGGCACGUUGUGUUAGCUAAUCCAAGUUUAUCAUUUUAAGAGGCUAAUUGAUCAUUAGAUAACCCUUUUGCUAUUAUCUUAGCACAGCUGAAAACUGUUUUCUGAUUAAAGAUGCAAUAAAACUGGCCUUUAGACUAGUGGGUUCGAUUACAGGCUCAAAUAUUUUUAGAAACAGAACUUUCUUCUGAAACUAGACAAUAUAUUCUUGUUCUGAGAAAUGAAGGCUAUUCCAUGCGAGAAAUUGCCAAGAAACGGAAGAUCCCGUACAAUGCUGUGUACUACUCCCUUCACAGAACAGCGCAAACUGUCUCUAACCAGAAUAGAAAGAGGAGUGGGAGGCUCCGGUGCAGUCAUUUACAACACUAACAAUGUCUACACUGUAUUUCUGAUCAAUUUGAUGUUAUUUUAAUGGACAAAAAAUGUGCUUAUCUUUCAAAAACAAGGUUAUGUCUAAGUGACCCCAAACGUUUUAACGGUAGUGUAUAUACUGAAUAAAAGUAUAAACGCA
Long non-coding RNA from Oncorhynchus nerka (sockeye salmon), 5452 nucleotides. RefSeq lists it as uncharacterized. The record is from RefSeq and is a predicted model, not a curated record. The transcript is spliced from 5 exons. Lineage: Eukaryota; Metazoa; Chordata; Actinopteri; Salmoniformes; Salmonidae.